Molecule: ribosomal RNA, 369 nt
Filed under: uncultured organism
Description: partial 16S ribosomal RNA
Rfam family: Bacterial small subunit ribosomal RNA
Source: RNAcentral
GGGGGUGCAAGCGUUAUUCGGAAUCACUGGGCGUAAAGAGCGCGUAGGCGGUUUCUUAAGUCAGAUGUGAAAGCCCGGGGCUUAACCCCGGAAGUGCAUUUGAAACGGAGGGACUUGAGUAUGGGAGAGGGAAGUGGAAUUCCUGGUGUAGCGGUGAAAUGCGUAGAUAUCAGGAGGAACACCGGUGGCGAUGGCGACUUCCUGGACCAAUACUGACGCUGAGGCGCGAAGGCGUGGGGAGCAAACAGGAUUAGAUACCAUGGUAGUCCACGCAGUAAACGUUGAACACUAGGUGUAGCGGGUAUUGACCCCUGCUGUGCCGCAGCUAACGCAUUAAGUGUUCCGCCUGGGGAGUACGCCGCAAGGCUA